RNAcentral lists this ribosomal RNA (274 nucleotides) under uncultured bacterium. Its description in RNAcentral is "partial 16S ribosomal RNA". It matches the Rfam family "Bacterial small subunit ribosomal RNA", at positions 523 to 796 of the family's 1533-position model. The record is from RNAcentral.
AUACGGAGGGUGCGAGCGUUAAUCGGAAUUACUGGGCGUAAAGCGCGCGUAGGCGGCUAGGUCAGUCGGAUGUGAAAGCCCUGGGCUCAACCUGGGAACUGCAUUCGAUACUGCCUAGCUAGAGUAUGGUAGAGGGAAGCGGAAUUCCGGGUGUAGCGGUGAAAUGCGUAGAUAUCCGGAGGAACACCAGUGGCGAAGGCGGCUUCCUGGACCAAUACUGACGCUGAGGUGCGAAAGCGUGGGGAGCAAACAGGAUUAGAAACCCCGGUAGUCC